Molecule: long non-coding RNA, 2260 nt
Organism: Gallus gallus (chicken)
Lineage: Eukaryota; Metazoa; Chordata; Aves; Galliformes; Phasianidae
Exons: 3
Source: RefSeq, a predicted model, not a curated record
UAAAUAUUCUGAAGUCAGGACAACCAGAUAAUGCACAAGAGGAUUCUAAAAGCUCCCUGAAGAUUUCUCCGGAGAGUUGAUGCCAAUUUUGAAUAAAAUUUGAAAAAACAGGUUGCAAACUUUGUGUUGGCACUUGUAAAGUGUGAAUGGGACAACAGAGGCACCUGUCGAUCUGCUGCAAUACAACGCAGAAUGUGGUGAGUGCAAAAUUAACCAGUGGGAGUUUCAGAAUGUGCACUUCGAAUGAUGCUGAUACCAAAACAAGCAUUGUCACGGUGCGGGUGGCAGGGUGUAUUUGCACAGGUGAACUUUGUUGCAGUGACAGAGGAAAGGCUGCACUCAGGAAAAUGUUAUUCUGAGCAGUACUGUGGGAACACAGGCGCAGACAGAGAAACAGCUAUGGGCUGCCAAGUGCAGCUAAGGCCAGAGGGAAAAUGUGGACUAUGACAGACAGAUGUGGUCCUACCUACCAGCAGGUGCCCUGGCUGGAUCAUCCUACACACAGCUGUGUGAGAUGCUGGCCAGGCCUGCACUCAGUGGGCAAUAUGGACAAAUAAAAAGCCAGCAAUUUUUCUGCAAGAGCAGGUCUUCAGAAAAGCUCUCCUAGUUUUCGAGAGGUACCUGGAUUUCAAGAGUACCAGGGAUUCUGGCACCGAGGUCAUACAUGAAGACGUGAGAAAGAAGAUGGCCCUUCCUUUAUUUUUCCAUGAUUCUGGGAGCAGCUUUGGCUAAUGGAGGAGGACCUGCGCGCUUGAAAAGGCUGCUCAUAGAGAAUCCCUGCUUCCUCCUGGGCAUGAAGGCUGACUUAUCUACUCACUGCAUCAGUUUCUCCAGGCAGACAGUCUUCCAAAUUAAGAAAUGCGUGUAGCCUCAAAUUUCUGGCAACCAAAAGGGAGGAAAAGAACUUUACUCUCAAAAGAAAUCUCCACGUUCCAUGAGAAACUCUCACAUUCUCUAGUUGUAUCAGAUAAUAAAAAAAAAUCAAUAAAGAAAUAGAGAAUGAAAAACUGUCUGGUAGAUGUCGGUCAAGCAGGAAACUGGGAAGGAGAAAACACGGUUUGCAAUGGCGCUGCGAACCAGACAGAAACAAAGGAAAUAAACAAGGAAAUGCUGAGGGAUGGACGGAGAUGUUUUCUACAGAGGUUGUUCUAAACUCUGUACAUUAACCAGGAGAGAGGGAGAUACUUCUUCAAACCACAAUGUAACACAUUCCAAAGCUUCCUCUGGCAGCACAACGUGACCAAAUCUCACCUACAGAAUCUGGGCUCUUCACCAGCUCCAUCCCAGGCACAUAGCAAUGGGAACUACAAGAUGACUACAUCUGCCUUUUGCAGAAGCCAAAACCAGGCUGGAUAUUUUGAUUUUAAAUUCUCAAGCCAGUCCUCCCAGUGCAGUUUGUAGCACACCUUAAAGUUGAAGCUCAAGCUCUAAGAAAAGGAGCGUAAAGAAUACAAGAAAAAAUCUUCAAGUGUUUUUUGGAAGUCCUUGCAGUGCAACUCCUAGAGGUGUACAGAAACAUGAUUUUCAGCUCAGUGGGACAUUAAUGAAGCUCUUCCUCUUAAGCAGGAUCUGUACUGUCAGUGCUCUUGCUUCAGAGAAAGUCGGUUUUUGGCUUUAAAACACCAUGCAUCACAGGCAUUAAUAUUACCCACAUUAACGUACAAUUUAGAGACUGUAAGAAGUUCCCAGUGCUACACCUGCAAAUAACAAAUAGAAGAUGGCUCUCCCCCCAAAAUCACUGCAGGAGUGCUGGGGACAUGGAGGGAUCAGACCAAACGCAGCCAACAGCUACUCAGACGGAAUGAGCUUUAAAGCGAUGGCACUUAAAGGAGUACAAAAAGGCAGUUGCCUUUUAGUUACUUCUGGCUUGGGAAUCUUUAAAUAUUUUGUGUAUCAGCUCGGGUCUUCUGCCACCUCCCAGUCAGAGGACAAGAAAGCACUAUUUUUAAAAUGAAAGCUGAGAAAGCCAUGUCCUCAGAAGCUUUAAGGAAAAUACCAAGUGUGACGCGUGAGGGCAAAACCAUAGUGCUGUGCCACUGCUCUUUUGGUGGCUUUCAGAUCCAGAGUUUAGCACAAAAUCGAGGCUGCUUUCCCCUCACAUUCUUCAAUGCUAUAGAUCAGGGCAAUGCGCUGCCCUUUAAGCAAAUGCAUUUUAAAAAGCAAUUUGAUUAUCUUCAUUGUGCAAUUAUCAGCAGCUGAGAUCAGCAAAAAUCAGAGGUUUAUAAUUAUAUCCAAUUUCCCACUCAUUACAGACAAUAAG